RNAcentral lists this ribosomal RNA (320 nucleotides) under uncultured eukaryote. Its description in RNAcentral is "partial 18S ribosomal RNA". It matches the Rfam family "Eukaryotic small subunit ribosomal RNA", at positions 1470 to 1796 of the family's 1831-position model. The record is from RNAcentral.
CCCCUAGAUGUUCUGGGCCGCACGCGCGCUACACUGAACAGUUCAACAAGUCUUAACCUUGGCCGAUAGGUCUGGGUAAUCUUUGAACGCUGUUCGUGAUUGGGAUAGACCUUUGCAAUUAUGGGUCUUCAACGAGGAAUUCCUAGUAAACGCAAGUCAUCAGCUUGCAUUGAUUACGUCCUUGCCCUUUGUACACACCGCCCGUCGCACCUACCGAUUGAAUGGUCCGGUGAAAUCUCGGGACGGCGGCUUGGUCGCUUGCGUCCGACUGCUGAAACUUGAUUAAACCAUAUCAUUUAGAGGAAGGUGAAGUCGUAACA